Molecule: long non-coding RNA, 501 nt
Organism: Mercurialis annua (annual mercury)
Lineage: Eukaryota; Viridiplantae; Streptophyta; Magnoliopsida; Malpighiales; Euphorbiaceae
Exons: 3
Source: RefSeq, a predicted model, not a curated record
ACAAUCCAGGGAGUUCUUCUUCUCAUCCUCAUCUUCUACACAUCAUGAAUUAAAGAAGAAAGAGAGCUAGAGUGUAGAAUUUUGAGUAGCAAUUUCAAAUAAUCACUCUCAAGAAAGAUCAAUUCAUCAUUUGCCAUCAAUUUUGGAGCUUAAAUGGAGAUUCUACACGUGGGCGGAUUGGAGAAUUAGAAGAAUUGGAAUUAAUCAACGGACUAUUUUAUAUUUUGCAAUUGGAAAAUUUGAAUUUAAGCGAUCGAGUGUUUUCUUUCAGGAUUAAUACUUGAUGAUGUGGUCGAGCUUCCAAUCAUUGUUCCGGAAGUCUCAAUUAUGGGGAGUCUUAUUUUUCUUAGAGCUGCAGUAGUCAAGAUAUUAGAGUUAGCUUGUAGCAAACAAUUUAUGUUUAUUUUAUGCCAUGACAUAAUAAUGUAUUUUGGGAAAAUGAAUUAUCCAGGAAUUUAAUAUAUGGUUAAUUGGUAUUUUAUACAGAGUAGUUUGUGUGUU